Small nuclear RNA from Rhinolophus ferrumequinum (greater horseshoe bat), 106 nucleotides. NCBI's taxonomy places the organism in Eukaryota, Metazoa, Chordata, Mammalia, Chiroptera, Rhinolophidae. The record is from Ensembl.
GUGCUCGCUUCGGCAGCACAUAUACUAAAAUUGGAACAAUACAGAGAUUAGCAUGGCCUCUGCGCAAAGAUGAAAAAAAAUACUUAAUUAAAAAAAGUAUAGAAUA